CCUACGGGAGGCAGCAGUAGGGAAUCUUCCACAAUGGGCGAAAGCCUGAUGGAGCAACGCCGCGUGGGUGAAGAAGGUCUUCGGAUCGUAAAACCCUGUUGUUAGAGAAGAAAGUGCGUGAGAGCAACUGUUCACGUUUCGACGGUAUCUAACCAGAAAGCCACGGCUAACUACGUGCGAGCAGCCGCGGGAAUACGUAGGUGGCAAGCGUUAUCCGGUUUUGUUGGGCGUAAAGGGAACGCAGGCGGUCUUUUAAGUCUGAUGUGAAAGCCUUCGGCUUAACCGGAGUAGUGCAUUGGAAACUGGGAGUCUUGAGUGGAGAAGAGGAAAGUGGAACUCCAUGUGUAGCGGUGAAAUGCGUAGAUAUAUGGAAGAACACCAGUGGCGAAGGCGGCUCUCUGGUCUGUAACUGACGCUGAGGUUCGAAAGCGUGGGUAGCAAACAGGAUUAGAUACCCUGGUAGUC
This 465-nucleotide ribosomal RNA is filed under the name uncultured bacterium. RNAcentral's name for it is "partial 16S ribosomal RNA". It matches the Rfam family "Bacterial small subunit ribosomal RNA", at positions 338 to 795 of the family's 1533-position model. The record is from RNAcentral.